UACAGAGGGGACAAGCGUUGUUCGGAAUUACUGGGCGUAAAGGGCGCGUAGGCGGCCUGUUAAGUCGAACGUGAAAUCCCCGGGCUCAACCCGGGAACUGCGUCCGAUACUGGCAGGCUUGAAUUCGGGAGAGGGAUGUGGAAUUCCAGGUGUAGCGGUGAAAUGCGUAGAUAUCUGGAGGAACACCGGUGGCGAAAGCGGCGCACUGGACCACAACUGACGCUGAGGCGCGAAAGCUAGGGGAGCAAACAGG
This 253-nucleotide ribosomal RNA is filed under the name uncultured bacterium. RNAcentral's name for it is "partial 16S ribosomal RNA". It matches the Rfam family "Bacterial small subunit ribosomal RNA", at positions 524 to 776 of the family's 1533-position model. The record is from RNAcentral.